Molecule: transfer RNA, 72 nt
Filed under: Marmota marmota marmota (Alpine marmot)
Lineage: Eukaryota; Metazoa; Chordata; Mammalia; Rodentia; Sciuridae
Also listed under: 1 other name
Rfam family: tRNA
About the family: Transfer RNA (tRNA) molecules are approximately 80 nucleotides in length. Their secondary structure includes four short double-helical elements and three loops (D, anti-codon, and T loops). Further hydrogen bonds mediate the characteristic L-shaped molecular structure. tRNAs have two regions of fundamental functional importance: the anti-codon, which is responsible for specific mRNA codon recognition, and the 3' end, to which the tRNAs corresponding amino acid is attached (by aminoacyl-tRNA synthetases). tRNAs cope with the degeneracy of the genetic code in two manners: having more than one tRNA (with a specific anti-codon) for a particular amino acid; and 'wobble' base-pairing, i.e. permitting non-standard base-pairing at the 3rd anti-codon position.
Source: Rfam by way of RNAcentral
AGGGGUGUGGCUCAGUGGUGGAGCACUUGCCUAGCAUGUGUGAGGCCCUGGGUUCAAUUCUCAGCACCACAU